GUGGGGAAUUUUGGACAAUGGGCGAAAGCCUGAUCCAGCAAUGCCGCGUGCAGGAUGAAGGCCUUCGGGUUGUAAACUGCUUUUGUACGGAACGAAAAAGCUCCUUCUAAUACAGGGGGCCCAUGACGGUACCGUAAGAAUAAGCACCGGCUAACUACGUGCCAGCAGCCGCGGUAAUACGUAGGGUGCGAGCGUUAAUCGGAAUUACUGGGCGUAAAGCGUGCGCAGGCGGUUAUGUAAGACAGAUGUGAAAUCCCCGGGCUCAACCUGGGAACUGCAUUUGUGACUGCAUGGCUAGAGUACGGUAGAGGGGGAUGGAAUUCCGCGUGUAGCAGUGAAAUGCGUAGAUAUGCGGAGGAACACCGAUGGCGAAGGCAAUCCCCUGGACCUGUACUGACGCUCAUGCACGAAAGCGUGGGGAGCAAACAGGAUUAGAAACCCGUGUAGUCC
RNAcentral lists this ribosomal RNA (450 nucleotides) under uncultured bacterium. RNAcentral describes it as "partial 16S ribosomal RNA". It matches the Rfam family "Bacterial small subunit ribosomal RNA", at positions 354 to 796 of the family's 1533-position model. The record is from RNAcentral.